UACGUAGGGUGCAAGCGUUGUCCGGAAUUAUUGGGCGUAAAGAGCUCGUAGGCGGUCUGUUGCGUCGGCUGUGAAAACCCGCGGCUCAACUGUGGGCGGGCAGCUGAUACGGGCAGGCUGGAGUUCGGUAGGGGAGACUGGAAUUCCUGGUGUAGCGGUGAAAUGCGCAGAUAUCAGGAGGAACACCGGUGGCGAAGGCGGGUCUCUGGGCCGAUACUGACGCUGAGGAGCGAAAGCGUGGGGAGCGAACAGG
This 253-nucleotide ribosomal RNA is filed under the name uncultured bacterium. RNAcentral's name for it is "partial 16S ribosomal RNA". It matches the Rfam family "Bacterial small subunit ribosomal RNA", at positions 524 to 776 of the family's 1533-position model. The record is from RNAcentral.